RNAcentral lists this long non-coding RNA (644 nucleotides) under Nicotiana benthamiana. RNAcentral describes it as "long non-coding RNA (NBEN_LNC023937)". Lineage: Eukaryota; Viridiplantae; Streptophyta; Magnoliopsida; Solanales; Solanaceae. The record is from RNAcentral.
AGGGAUGUUAUAUUUCAUGAAACUUGUUUUCCCUUUGCAACUGCUUCUGUUGUUACCUCUGGUCCUUCUGUUUUUCCUUCUCCUUCUGUCUGUUCCCUAAGCAUCCCUAUUCUGAGAUAGAUCUGUCUGACUGCUUCUGUUGUUACCUCUGGUCAUUCUGUUUUUCCUUCUCCUUCUGUUCCUUCCCUGAGCAUCCCUAUUCUGAGACAGAUCUGUCUGCUCUCAUUUGCUCUUCUCUCCUUUCUCCUUGUGCAUCUUUUCCUUCUGCUUCCUGUUCUGUUCCCUUUUCUUUUUCUCCCUCACUAAUUUCUGAUCUUAACCAUCCUGCUUCCAGUCCACCUUUCAAUCCUGCUACCUCUCCUCCUGCUAUUUCUUCCUCUCCUGCACCUACUGGCCAGAGAAGAUCUGGAAGGAAACACAAUCAUCCCUCUUAUCUCAAUGACUAUGUUUGUCCCUUACCUUCCUUUUCUGGCUCUUCCUCCUCUUCUUCUCUUUUGGAAUCUGAACCUCUUUAUUAUUCUCAAGUUGCAUCAGUCCCAGUCUGGCAGGAUGCCAUGAGAAAGGAGUUUGAGGCAUUGGAUGCCAACCAUACUUGGGAUGUUGUUCCCAUCCCUCCUGGUAAGAAGCCCAUAGGCUGCAAAUUG